AACGAACGCUGGCGGCAUGCCUAACACAUGCAAGUCGAACGAGACCUUCGGGUCUAGUGGCGCACGGGUGCGUAACGCGUGGGAACCUGCCUUUAGGUUCGGAAUAACUCAGAGAAAUUUGAGCUAAUACCGGAUAAUGUCUUCGGACCAAAGAUUUAUCGCCUUUAGAUGGGCCCGCGUAAGAUUAGCUAGUUGGUGGGUAAAGGCCUACCAAGGCGACGAUCUUUAGCUGGUCUGAGAGGAUGAUCAGCCACACUGGGACUGAGACACGGCCCAGACUCCUACGGGAGGCAGCAGUGGGGAAUAUUGGGACCAAAUAGGGCGGAAAGGACCUGAUCCAGCAAUGCCGCGUGAGUGAUGAAGG
This 364-nucleotide ribosomal RNA is filed under the name uncultured bacterium. RNAcentral describes it as "bacterial SSU rRNA". It matches the Rfam family "Bacterial small subunit ribosomal RNA", at positions 29 to 414 of the family's 1533-position model. The record is from RNAcentral.